CCAGACUCCUACGGGAGGCAGCAGUGAGGAAUAUUGGUCAAUGGUCGGGAGACUGAACCAGCCAAGCCGCGUGAGGGAGGAAGGUACAGAGUAUCGUAAACCUCUUUUGUCAGGGAACAAAGACUGGGACGCGUCCCCGGAUGAGUGUACCUGAAGAAAAAGCAUCGGCUAACUACGUGCCAGCAGCCGCGGUAAUACGUAGGGGGCAAGCGUUAUCCGGAAUUACUGGGUGUAAAGGGAGCGUAGACGGUAAUGCAAGUCUGGAGUGAAAGGCGGGGGCCCAACCCCCGGACUGCUCUGGAAACUGUGUAACUGGAGUGCAGGAGAGGCAGGCGGAAUUCCUAGUGUAGCGGUGAAAUGCGUAGAUAUUAGGAGGAACACCAGUGGCGAAGGCGGCCUGCUGGACUGUAACUGACGUUGAGGCUCGAAAGCGUGGGGAGCAAACAGGAUUAGAUACCCGUGUAG
RNAcentral lists this ribosomal RNA (465 nucleotides) under uncultured bacterium. RNAcentral's name for it is "bacterial SSU rRNA". It matches the Rfam family "Bacterial small subunit ribosomal RNA", at positions 331 to 793 of the family's 1533-position model. The record is from RNAcentral.